GGAUAUGAGGGUGAUCUGGCUGUGACAUAUGUCAUCCCAUUGAUCGCCAUGGUUGAUUUGGCUAAUCUUGCUGGCUAGCAGGGUGUCCCCUUCCUCCCUCACUGUUCCAUAUGUGUCCCUUCCAAAGGACCAUGUGCUUGGUCAAAGAGGACGGCCUUCCCCGAAUAGAGAGAGACUUGCCUUUGCUUGAGGAUAUACAAGUAGCUGCUAGAACCUCCAAACAAGAUCUCAAUUCUGUUCCAAAGGUCUGUGUGCCUAUUUUUGUUCCA
This 269-nucleotide small nuclear RNA is filed under the name Erinaceus europaeus (western European hedgehog). RNAcentral's name for it is "7SK RNA". It matches the Rfam family "7SK RNA". Rfam says of the family: 7SK was discovered as an abundant small nuclear RNA in the mid-70s but a possible function has only recently been suggested. Two independent studies have found that 7SK RNA binds the CDK9/cyclin T complex (known as elongation factor P-TEFb). Lineage: Eukaryota; Metazoa; Chordata; Mammalia; Eulipotyphla; Erinaceidae. The record is from Rfam by way of RNAcentral.